AAUGAGUUGGCAGAGAUAUGCAAUUGGUUUAGGACCAAUACACAGGAAUAACCCCUACUCAUUU
RNAcentral lists this transfer RNA (64 nucleotides) under Perinereis cultrifera. Its description in RNAcentral is "tRNA-Leu". The record is from RNAcentral. Lineage: Eukaryota; Metazoa; Annelida; Polychaeta; Phyllodocida; Nereididae.